This 253-nucleotide ribosomal RNA is filed under the name uncultured bacterium. RNAcentral's name for it is "partial 16S ribosomal RNA". It matches the Rfam family "Bacterial small subunit ribosomal RNA", at positions 524 to 776 of the family's 1533-position model. The record is from RNAcentral.
UACGGAGGGUGCGAGCGUUGUCCGGAAUCAUUGGGCGUAAAGGGCGCGUAGGUGGCGGCUUAAGCGUGCGGUGAAAGCUCGGGGCUCAACCCCGAGUCGGCCGUGCGAACUGAGUCGCUUGAGCACUGUAGAGGCAGGCGGAAUUCCGGGUGUAGCGGUGAAAUGCGCAGAUAUCAGGAGGAACACCGGUGGCGAAGGCGGGUCUCUGGGCCGAUACUGACGCUGAGGAGCGAAAGCGUGGGGAGCGAACAGG